This 315-nucleotide long non-coding RNA is filed under the name Cucumis sativus (cucumber). RNAcentral describes it as "long non-coding RNA (CSAT_LNC002251)". Lineage: Eukaryota; Viridiplantae; Streptophyta; Magnoliopsida; Cucurbitales; Cucurbitaceae. The record is from RNAcentral.
AAGUCCAUGUCCUCAUUCGGAGAUCUCGCCGGCUCCUCCGUCAGAAAGUGGUGGGACUGGGGCUGGGCUUGGAUCCUUUCUCGCAAACCUAUCUUCGCUAAAGAUCUGGAGAUGAACGAAGAGGAAUCCAAAAUCCUUGGAUCUCAAAACAGAGGUAGUUGGAAACACGUCUUCUUCAAGUUCAGAUCCGAAAUCAGAAAGCUCAUUGGCUCUGAUGUUGCCCUCCCCCAAACUACCCCCAACUAUCGAUCCUUCAAUUUCCCCAACAACAAUAGCGGAAUCAGAACCUAAUUAAUCGAUCUCUCAUCCUUCUUU